Paramormyrops kingsleyae is the source of this 555-nucleotide non-coding RNA. The record is from RefSeq and is a predicted model, not a curated record. Lineage: Eukaryota; Metazoa; Chordata; Actinopteri; Osteoglossiformes; Mormyridae.
CGUGCAUGUUGAGAACAUGAGCUCGUAAUGUCUUUGUCUGGACUAGUUAAGGGUUUUCAUGACAAAGAUUCAGUCUGCUCUGCAUCAUGAUGCAAAACAAGGAGACUCACACUGAGGAUGAACUGAAGGUCCAGGGUGGUGUUUUUGGACUGCCUUCUCUCCAUGCCUUGGCUGGGAUCCUCCAGGAGAAGGUGCAUGUUUUUGGCCAAACCCAGGACAUGCUGCAAGCUCCAACACGACAGCAGCCUGAGCCGGGCCACAGUACCCUGAGCACGGCACAUCUCCCUGAGGCCACAUCCAGCACCUCAGUAACCGACACACAUGCUGCAGAUACAGAACAUCAGAGCAGGGUGAGUACAUGGUUGGUGUCUGUCCUACUGUACCAGGCCAGCAGGGGGUGCUUCAGCAGAUGUAAUGGAGCAUGGACACCUUACUCAGCUCCUGCUUGGCCUCCAAUCAUGUCCACGCACAAGCCUCACAGUAAUCAGCUGUUUUAAGUCCUUCAGUUAAGUGCUGUUUACUUUCAUGAGACUCAGGGGAACCACAGGCAUCAAU